Ornithodoros turicata is the source of this 524-nucleotide long non-coding RNA. RefSeq lists it as uncharacterized. The record is from RefSeq and is a predicted model, not a curated record. Lineage: Eukaryota; Metazoa; Arthropoda; Arachnida; Ixodida; Argasidae. The transcript has 3 exons.
CGACGAGAAUAACUUGGAGCGCCGCCAGAGGGGAACGUCGCUGCGGCUCCGGGAAUCAUGGGACAUACGUUUUUUCGCUCGCGAGGGUGAUGUCUGCUAUGCCGGGCGCUGACACCUGACACGGCUGACACCGACGCACUGACGAGGCGGGUGUUGUUUACGUGCGUCACUGCUCAAGACAUCAGGCGUUGAUAAACGUGAUCAAUGCAUGCAGGUUCACGAUGCAAUUUGAGGUGCCAAAAGGGCCUUGGACAAAACAGUUGGGCAACUUCCCUGCUGCCUUCAAUGAAGCGAAAAUUUUGUUUCACCAACAGCAGGCUGGUGCAUCCAAGCAUGGCAAGGAAGGAUACAGGAUGUACAAAAGUGACAAGGUGACAAAUGUGCUUCUUCAUUAUGGCCAGGACUUCGUUGUUGUAAAGGCGACAGUGGAGUCAUCUUUUACACUGCGAAAACUGAGGCGAACAGUUACGAGAAUUGGCGAUGAUGGAAACGUGACAGGAGGCCACUGCAUAUGCCCCGCAGGA